RNAcentral lists this long non-coding RNA (298 nucleotides) under Homo sapiens (human). Its description in RNAcentral is "non-protein coding lnc-LRRC37A-2:2". Lineage: Eukaryota; Metazoa; Chordata; Mammalia; Primates; Hominidae. The record is from RNAcentral.
AUGAACCGCCUGUACCUCACUCACCCCCGACGUCUUCUUCUUCCGAGUCCACAUGUUAGUCCUGGACUCCUCCAGCUGCAAUAAACCGUGUCCAGAGUUUAAACCUGGCAGCAGGUAUAUUGUGAUGGGCCACAUCUACCAUAAGAGAGGGCAGCUUCCUACAGCUCUGCUCCAGGUCCUGAGAGGCCAUCUCUGUCCAGGGGAUGGACUGCUGAGGAGCAGCAGCAGCUAUGUGAAAAGGUUUAACCCAAAAAGGGAAGGGCAAAUUCAAGGUGCAAUUCAUACCCAAUGCAUUUGA